RNAcentral lists this ribosomal RNA (1372 nucleotides) under uncultured bacterium. Its description in RNAcentral is "bacterial SSU rRNA". It matches the Rfam family "Bacterial small subunit ribosomal RNA", at positions 28 to 1381 of the family's 1533-position model. The record is from RNAcentral.
GAUGAACGCUGGCGGCGUGCCUAAUACAUGCAAGUCGAGCGAACGGACGAGAAGCUUGCUUCUCUGAUGUUAGCGGCGGACGGGUGAGUAACACGUGGAUAACCUACCUAUAAGACUGGGAUAACUUCGGGAAACCGUAGCUAAUACCGGAUAAUAUUUUGAACCGCAUGGUUCAAAAGUGAAAGACGGUCUUGCUGUCACUUAUAGAUGGAUCCGCGCUGCAUUAGCUAGUUGGUAAGGUAACGGCUUACCAAGGCAACGAUGCAUAGCCGACCUGAGAGGGUGAUCGGCCACACUGGAACUGAGACACGGUCCAGACUCCUACGGGAGGCAGCAGUAGGGAGUCUUCCGCAAUGGGCGAAAGCCUGACGGAGCAACGCCGCGUGAGUGAUGAAGGUCUUCGGAUCGUAAAACUCUGUUAUUAGGGAAGAACAUAUGUGUAAGUAACUGUGCACAUCUUGACGGUACCUAAUCAGAAAGCCACGGCUAACUACGUGCCAGCAGCCGCGGUAAUACGUAGGUGGCAAGCGUUAUCCGGAAUUAUUGGGCGUAAAGCGCGCGUAGGCGGUUUUUUAAGUCUGAUGUGAAAGCCCACGGCUCAACCGUGGAGGGUCAUUGGAAACUGGAAAACUUGAGUGCAGAAGAGGAAAGUGGAAUUCCAUGUGUAGCGGUGAAAUGCGCAGAGAUAUGGAGGAACACCAGUGGCGAAGGCGACUUUCUGGUCUGUAACUGACGCUGAUGUGCGAAAGCGUGGGGAUCAAACAGGAUUAGAUACCCUGGUAGUCCACGCCGUAAACGAUGAGUGCUAAGUGUUAGGGGGUUUCCGCCCCUUAGUGCUGCAGCUAACGCAUUAAGCACUCCGCCUGGGGAGUACGACCGCAAGGUUGAAACUCAAAGGAAUUGACGGGGACCCGCACAAGCGGUGGAGCAUGUGGUUUAAUUCGAAGCAACGCGAAGAACCUUACCAAAUCUUGACAUCCUUUGACAACUCUAGAGAUAGAGCCUUCCCCUUCGGGGGACAAAGUGACAGGUGGUGCAUGGUUGUCGUCAGCUCGUGUCGUGAGAUGUUGGGUUAAGUCCCGCAACGAGCGCAACCCUUAAGCUUAGUUGCCAUCAUUAAGUUGGGCACUCUAAGUUGACUGCCGGUGACAAACCGGAGGAAGGUGGGGAUGACGUCAAAUCAUCAUGCCCCUUAUGAUUUGGGCUACACACGUGCUACAAUGGACAAUACAAAGGGCAGCGAAACCGCGAGGUCAAGCAAAUCCCAUAAAGUUGUUCUCAGUUCGGAUUGUAGUCUGCAACUCGACUACAUGAAGCUGGAAUCGCUAGUAAUCGUAGAUCAGCAUGCUACGGUGAAUACGUUCCCGGGUCU